AGUGAACGCUGGCGGUAGGCCUAACACAUGCAAGUCGAACGGCAGCACAGUAAGAGCUUGCUCUUACGGGUGGCGAGUGGCGGACGGGUGAGGAAUACAUCGGAAUCUACUUUUUCGUGGGGGAUAACGUAGGGAAACUUACGCUAAUACCGCAUACGACCUACGGGUGAAAGCAGGGGAUCUUCGGACCUUGCGCGAUUGAAUGAGCCGAUGUCGGAUUAGCUAGUUGGCGGGGUAAAGGCCAACCAAGGCGACGAUCCGUAGCUGGUCUGAGAGGAUGAUAAGCCACACGGGAACUGAGACACGGUCCAGACUCCUACGGGAGGCAGCAGUGGGGAAUAUUGGACAAUGGGCGCAAGCCUGAUCCAGCCAUACCGCGUGGGUGAAGAAGGCCUUCGGGUUGUAAAGCCCUUUUGUUGGGAAAGAAAAGCAGCAGGUUAAUACCCCGCUGUUCUGACGGUACCCAAAGAAUAAGCACCGGCUAACUUCGUG
Molecule: ribosomal RNA, 492 nt
Filed under: uncultured bacterium
Lineage: Bacteria
Description: partial 16S ribosomal RNA
Rfam family: Bacterial small subunit ribosomal RNA
Source: RNAcentral